This 453-nucleotide ribosomal RNA is filed under the name Pelobates cultripes (western spadefoot toad). RNAcentral's name for it is "LSU_rRNA_archaea". It matches the Rfam family "Eukaryotic large subunit ribosomal RNA", at positions 2555 to 2986 of the family's 3401-position model. The record is from RNAcentral. Lineage: Eukaryota; Metazoa; Chordata; Amphibia; Anura; Pelobatidae.
GGAGGUUUUCUAUCUCCUCAUGCCUCUACCUGUCAUCUGGCAGGUGGGGUUAUGUCUACUAAAAGUUUAAAACUAGCGCUCUGAGGAUAGUAGCAAGUGGGGGGGUUGACAGGGGCGUUACACCUGUUAAACUGUAAUGCAGGUUUCCUAAGGCAAGCUCAGGGAGGACAGAAACCUCCUGCGGAGCAGAAGGGCAAAAGCUUGCUUAAACUUGAUUUUCAGUUCAAUACAGACAGUCAAAGCGGGGCCUCACAAUCCUUCUGACUUUUUGGGUUUUAAGCAGGAACUGGCUUGUGGUGGCCAAGUGUUCAUAGCAACGUCCAUUUUUGAUCCUUCAAAAUUAUCUCUUCCUGUCAUUGUGCAGCAGAAUUCACCAAAUGCUGGAUUGUUCACCCACUAAUAGAGAAUGUGAGCUGGAUUUAGACCAUUGUGAGACAGGUUAGAAAAGACCUC